CCUACGGGUGGCAGCAGUGGGGAAUAUUGCACAAUGGGGGAAACCCUGAUGCAGCGACGCCGCGUGAGUGAAGAAGUAUUUCGGUAUGUAAAGCUCUAUCAGCAGGGAAGCAAAUGACGGUACCUGUUUAAGAAGCCCCGGCUAACUACGUGCCAGCAGCCGAGGUAAUACGUAGGGGGCAAGCGUUAUCCGGAUUUACUGGGUGUAAAGGGGGCGUAGACGGCAGCACAAGUCUGGAGUGAAAGGCCGGGGCUUAAACCCGGAACUGCUUUGGAAACUGUGCAGCUAGAGUGCAGGAGAGGUAAGUGGAAUGCCUAGUGUAGCGGUGAAAUGCGUAGAUAUUAGGAGGAACACCAGUGGCGAAGGCGGCUUACUGGACUGUAACUGACGUUGAGGCUCGAAAGCGUGGGGAGCAAACAGGAUUAGAUACCCCAGUAGUC
This 440-nucleotide ribosomal RNA is filed under the name uncultured bacterium. RNAcentral describes it as "partial 16S ribosomal RNA". It matches the Rfam family "Bacterial small subunit ribosomal RNA", at positions 338 to 795 of the family's 1533-position model. The record is from RNAcentral.